Molecule: long non-coding RNA, 846 nt
Organism: Pseudophryne corroboree (corroboree frog)
Lineage: Eukaryota; Metazoa; Chordata; Amphibia; Anura; Myobatrachidae
Exons: 3
Source: RefSeq, a predicted model, not a curated record
GUGAAGAGAGAAGAGCAGCUGUGGCAAAUCCAUGGCUAACGAGCUGCAUACUGCUUUUUCUUUGUUUUAAUGUGACUCUGGCACCUGGCACUGCUUCCACUCCCGACACUGACACCCACUGACUAGACAGGCUGUCUAUUCUCACAGGCAUACAGCUGUUCAAGGGAGGCUUCUUGUGUAUCUGGGAAAAGCAGGCACUGCUCUGCUCAAUGCGCGUUGUGAAGUAACAUUGCAUAAUGAGAGGUGGAGCUCAAGGCAGCCACCUGGAGGACGUGGUCGCCGCGGAUGCCAGAAGAUUGAAGGGACAGUCUCCUUAAUAUGCAUCUUCAACACAAUCUGCUGCUGUAUGGCUGAAGUGGACAUACAUAUCUUUACUGGAUGUGGACAAGGCCAUUUUGGUCAGAAUCCAUUUGUUUUUUUGUUUUGUUUUUUCGUUUCUUACUCACAAUCAAGAUGAGGGAAGUGUGGUUGGCGUCUUGGAGGUGUGACCAAAAUUUGGAGUGGUGGUACCAAAGAAACUGUAGACAAUCUUCGUGGCGGAGUAGACUGCUGUGGUUGUGAUUGGACAUCAGACCUUGCUUUCUUUGUUGCCACAUGUACUUUUGUUUGGUGUGCUACAGGAGUCCUCCUUCUGCUGGUCAAAACUUCUUGGGAUGAACCUGGGAUUUAAAGUGUACUUUUGUUAUGGCCAUUCCUUUACAAACAUAACCUAUACUACAAUGGACACUUUACCUGCUUCCGCAGCGUCAUCAUCAUCAGAUGUAAUGGGAGUGACUGUAGGCCAACCAGUACUGCUUUUUUUCAACACUGUAAAUAAUGAAAUAAAUAAAAGAACUCAUUUCUUCA